RNAcentral lists this ribosomal RNA (426 nucleotides) under Nasutitermes costalis. Its description in RNAcentral is "partial 16S ribosomal RNA". Lineage: Eukaryota; Metazoa; Arthropoda; Insecta; Blattodea; Termitidae. The record is from RNAcentral.
UUACGUUGUUAUCCCUAAGGUAAUUUAAUCUUAUAAUCAAAAUAAAUGGAUCAAAAAUAUAUACAUAAAUAUAUAAAAACAAAGAGGAGUUAAAUAAUAUUCCUCCCAUCACCCCAACAAAACAAUUCACUCCCACUCAAUGUAAAUAAACACAAACAACGAAUAAAUAGGAAAAUUGUCAAACUCUAUAGGGUCUUCUCGUCCCAUAAAAACAUUUAAGAAUUUUAACUCAAAAACCAAAUUCAAUAAACCAAUACCUCUAAGACAGCUUAUGUCUCGUCAAGCCAUUCAUACCAGAUCACAAUUAAAGAACUAAUGAUUAUGCUACCUUUGCACGGUCAAAAUACCGCGGCCCUUCAACUCUAAGUCAGUGGGCAGGCCAUACUUCAAAAACUAACAAGAAAAGAUGUUUUUGAUAAACAGGCG